This 274-nucleotide ribosomal RNA is filed under the name uncultured bacterium. RNAcentral describes it as "partial 16S ribosomal RNA". It matches the Rfam family "Bacterial small subunit ribosomal RNA", at positions 523 to 796 of the family's 1533-position model. The record is from RNAcentral.
AUACGGAGGGUGCAAGCGUUACUCGGAAUCACUGGGCGUAAAGCGCGCGCAGGCGGCUUGAUAAGCUGGAUGUGAAAGCCUACGGCUCAACCGUAGAACUGCAUCCAAAACUGUCAGGCUAGAGUGUGGGAGAGGAAGAUGGAAUUAGUUGUGUAGGGGUAAAAUCCGUAGAGAUAACUAGGAAUACCAAAAGCGAAGGCAAUCUUCUGGAACACUACUGACGCUGAGGCGCGAAGGCGUGGGGAGCAAACAGGAUUAGAAACCCCGGUAGUCC